Molecule: ribosomal RNA, 300 nt
Filed under: uncultured Hydrogenimonas sp.
Lineage: Bacteria; Pseudomonadati; Campylobacterota; Epsilonproteobacteria; Campylobacterales; Hydrogenimonadaceae
Description: partial 16S ribosomal RNA
Rfam family: Bacterial small subunit ribosomal RNA
Source: RNAcentral
GGCAACCAAGGGGCAGAGGGCGCGGAAAGACGUUGGCGAGCUGGGUUGUUCUGGGGUACUGGGGUGAAAGAGGGCGUAGGCGGGUGGGCAAGUUGGGUGUGAAAGCUCCCGGCUUAACUGGGAGGGGGCGGCGAAGACUGGUGGGCUGGAGUAUGGGAGAGGCAGGCGGAAUUCCUGGUGUAGCGGUGAAAUGCGUAGAUAUCAGGAGGAACACCGGUGGUGUAGGCGGCUUGCUGGACCAUAACUGACGCUGAGGCACGAAAGCGUGGGGAGCAAACAGGAUUAGAUACCCUGGUAGUC